RNAcentral lists this ribosomal RNA (491 nucleotides) under uncultured bacterium. Its description in RNAcentral is "partial 16S ribosomal RNA". It matches the Rfam family "Bacterial small subunit ribosomal RNA", at positions 29 to 507 of the family's 1533-position model. The record is from RNAcentral.
GUGAACGCUGGCGGUAGGCCUAACACAUGCCAGUCGAACGGCAGCACAGUAAGAGCUUGCUCUUACGGGUGGCGAGUGGCGGACGGGUGAGGAAUACAUCGGAAUCUACUUUUUCGUGGGGGAUAACGUAGGGAAACUUACGCUAAUACCGCAUACGACCUACGGGUGAAAGCAGGGGAUCUUCGGACCUUGCGCGAUUGAAUGAGCCGAUGUCGGAUUAGCUAGUUGGCGGGGUAAAGGCCCACCAAGGCGACGAUCCGUGGCUGGUCUGAGAGGAUGAUCAGCCACACUGGAACUGAGACACGGUCCAGACUCCUACGGGAGGCAGCAGUGGGGAAUAUUGGACAAUGGGCGCAAGCCUGAUCCAGCCAUACCGCGUGGGUGAAGAAGGCCUUCGGGUUGUAAAGCCCUUUUGUUGGGAAAGAAAAGCAGCAGGUUAAUACCCCGCUGUUCUGACGGUACCCAAAGAAUAAGCACCGGCUAACUUCGUG